RNAcentral lists this non-coding RNA (100 nucleotides) under bovine gut metagenome. Its description in RNAcentral is "SAM riboswitch (S box leader)". It matches the Rfam family "SAM riboswitch aptamer (S box leader)". Rfam says of the family: The SAM riboswitch is found upstream of a number of genes which code for proteins involved in methionine or cysteine biosynthesis in Gram-positive bacteria. The SAM riboswitch acts at the level of transcription termination control. The predicted structure consists of a complex stem-loop region followed by a single stem loop terminator region. The record is from RNAcentral.
CUUAUCAAGAGCGGCUGAGGAACAGGUCCUGUGAAGCCCGGCAACCUAGCGCUGUAUGCGCUGAUGGUGCCAAGUCCUGCGGUAUUACCGAGAGAUGAGG